Molecule: ribosomal RNA, 497 nt
Filed under: uncultured bacterium
Lineage: Bacteria
Description: partial 16S ribosomal RNA
Rfam family: Bacterial small subunit ribosomal RNA
Source: RNAcentral
GACGAACGCUGGCGGCGUGCCUAAUACAUGCAAGUUGAGCGCUGAAGGUUGGUACUUGUACCAACUGGAUGAGCAGCGAACGGGUGAGUAACGCGUGGGGAAUCUGCCUUUGAGCGGGGGACAACAUUUGGAAACGAAUGCUAAUACCGCAUAAAAACUUUAAACACAAGUUUUAAGUUUGAAAGAUGCAAUUGCAUCACUCAAAGAUGAUCCCGCGUUGUAUUAGCUAGUUGGUGAGGUAAAGGCUCACCAAGGCGAUGAUACAUAGCCGACCUGAGAGGGUGAUCGGCCACAUUGGGACUGAGACGCGGCCCAAACUCCUACGGGAGGCAGCAGUAGGGAAUCUUCGGCAAUGGACGAAAGUCUGACCGAGCAACGCCGCGGGAGUGAAGAAGGUUUUCGGAUCGUAAAACUCUGUUGGUAGAGAAGAACGUUGGUGAGAGUGGAAAGCUCAUCAAGUGACGGUAACUACCCAGAAAGGGACGGCUAACUACGUG